Acanthochromis polyacanthus (spiny chromis) is the source of this 2147-nucleotide long non-coding RNA. RefSeq lists it as uncharacterized. Lineage: Eukaryota; Metazoa; Chordata; Actinopteri; Pomacentridae. The transcript is spliced from 3 exons. The record is from RefSeq and is a predicted model, not a curated record.
CAAAGAAAGGUCAAUUCCAGCCUGUUUCCCACAUCCAUCAACUGUACAUUAGAUGAGUCAUGACUGCUCUUCGUCCCGUCUGAGGAAUACGUCAUCAGUUCAUCUCAGAAAUGGGGGUCGCGUUCCGAUGACCCGACGACAGGACGUUAACCGUUUGUUGGAACGCUGCGUUCUGGGUUUGGAGAGUCUCCCGGGAGCACUAAAACAGCAAUUUAAGGCAGCAAGUGAAGAAAUGAGAGCCGGUAAGAGACGGAUAAAUGCACCGGCAAGGUUGUGCGAUGUCAGACACAACACGACAACACAGAUCUUAAAGCUGCAGCUACACAACACAAAUACGCUGUAAGAGGCAAAACUAAACAUCAAGUAAAGGUUGGAGCCAUUUACAGAAAUAACCGACGGCAGUCGGAGUGAAUCACGCUUCGGAGGAUCUAGUAACAGCUGACUGUGAGUCAUCUUCGCCUCAUGACCGGCCGCUCCAUGGAAACAGAGGCCUCCACUUUACCUUGACCAAUAUGCCGUGAAGUGUGUCAAUCUGUUGAAUUUCUGUGGUUUAGUCUCUGAGGAAGGAAAAAAAAACACUUUACUGCUGCAGACAGAUCUAAACUCUGCAGAAAUGUGAUUUUUUAAAAAAAACCUUAUUGUUAACUAAGACAUUUAAUUUGUAUCUGUUUACAAAACAUGUGCAUCCAGAACUCAGUGGAUUUUCUCCUGCUGAAAUUAAAGUGACAUCGAACAAUUCAGCAUCUCUGAGUGAGAAGAACUGUCCAUUCCACAUGAUCGGCUAAAUGUACGAGAUGUUAAAAAAAAUGUAAAAGAUAAAGUAUUGAUUUCAGUUUAGGGCAGCACAGCUGUUAUCAUCAGUGAGUGCUGAGGUCAGUUGUUUUAGCUUUGCUUUAGCUCUGGAGAUUUAUCGCCUCUGUUGAAUCGCAGCAAAGAGAGAGAGAUAAAUUGAACACUGAUCCUCGGUGGAAUAAGAAAGCAGCUUCGCUCCAAAGUGAGAUAUAUGUGAGAUAUGAGUCGAAGCGUUUACGCCUCGGAAUGUGAUUGAUGGCGCAAAAUGAAAACAACAACUUAUCAACAAUUACUACUGAGAGGUAAGUACACCUCUUGGCGAACAUCUCGGAGUAAGUGCCGUUUUUCUUUACGCUGAAAACAAACUUUUCGACGUGUUUUUAAUCUGUCGUCACUUUAGCAGCUUUCUGCUCAUUACUGCCAAAAGCCCUCCAUUGUCCUCCAUUUAUAUUAAACAGUGGACAACCGUGAUAGCACCAGUUAAGUGCACGUCGCGCCGUAAUGAAGCCGCAUUCACACAGCGCAGCGCCACGGUUUUAUCCCAGAUAGGCUCAGUUUGGCUCCUCAUCUCCAUUAUCAGCCCUGCACUUAGAGAGCGGCUCGAAUUAAUGAGUCGAAUCAUCACAAUCUCAACCUGACAAUGCAAAAAAAAAAAAAAGGAUGAGGGCAGGUUUGAAAACUGCAUCUUGGGAGUUUGUGCGAAGGGCCUUUUAAUCCUGGCAAGAAUAAUACCAUUUGUCCGUAAUGACUUGUACUGUGCUGCUCCGCUGCUCGCAUAUUUAGAGGAAUUAUGUAGCAAAAUGCUCCUAAAACUUUUGCUGUACUUUACUUUUGAGAGUUUAACAGGUUAUUUGGUAGGAUUAUUUAAUGGUGACAUUAGAAAUAUGCACCGGCUAAACAUCCUCGGCUCCACCGUUUAUAUUUAUCAGCAGCUAUGUACAAUAGGAAAUGCAGACGGCGGCGCUACGCAGAGCUAAAAAUGAUUUGUAGGUUACAAUAACUCGCACGUACGGUCCAAGUAGCACACAUCCUGUUGCUCAUGAGAGGAAGGAAGCUGCCGUAUCCCUGCAAAUAGGAAAUGCAGGGGGGAGGGAUGAAUAGAUGGGAAAAACAGGGAGUGGAGACAAACAUUUGACAGUGCAGCUAAGGAUAUGGCAGCGAUGUGGAGACGCUGGAAGAUACUUCAAGAUCUUUGCAGCCAGGAGAGGAAGACAUGCUUCAGUCGUGUCCUAGUUUGAUCCCUGUUUUUUUGCAUUUUUUUUCUCCUUCUUGUGUCAGAAUAAUGAAAAACUGUCACCUGUGAUUGAUGUCAGAGCAAUGUAUUGAAAAGACUGAUAUUAAACAAAUCCUUGCAA